CUACGAGCUGCAGCAGUGGGGAAUCUUAGACAAUGGGCGCAAGCCUGAUCUAGCCAUGCCGCGUGAGUGACGAAGGCCUUAGGGUCGUAAAGCUCUUUCGCUGGGGAAGAUAAUGACGGUACCCAGUAAAGAAACCCCGGCUAACUCCGUGCCAGCAGCCGCGGUAAUACGGAGGGGGUUAGCGUUGUUCGGAAUUACUGGGCGUAAAGCGCGCGUAGGCGGAUCAGAAAGUUGGGGGUGAAAUCCCGGGGCUCAACCCCGGAACUGCCUUCAAAACUCCUGGUCUUGAGUUCGAGAGAGGUGAGUGGAAUUCCGAGUGUAGAGGCGAAAUUCGUAGAUAUUCGGAGGAACACCAGUGGCGAAGGCGGCUCACUGGCUCGAUACUGACGCUGAGGUGCGAAAGCGUGGGGAGCAAACAGGAUUAGAUACCCCGGUAGUC
RNAcentral lists this ribosomal RNA (439 nucleotides) under uncultured bacterium. RNAcentral describes it as "partial 16S ribosomal RNA". It matches the Rfam family "Bacterial small subunit ribosomal RNA", at positions 339 to 795 of the family's 1533-position model. The record is from RNAcentral.